This 253-nucleotide ribosomal RNA is filed under the name uncultured bacterium. RNAcentral's name for it is "partial 16S ribosomal RNA". It matches the Rfam family "Bacterial small subunit ribosomal RNA", at positions 524 to 776 of the family's 1533-position model. The record is from RNAcentral.
UACGUAGGUGGCAAGCGUUGUCCGGAUUUACUGGGCGUAAAGGGCGUGCAGGCGGUUUGUUAAGUCUAGGGUGAAAGCUCCCGGCUCAACUGGGAGAGGUCCUUGGAUACUGGCAGACUUGAGGAGGGUAGAGGAGAGUGGAAUUCCCGGUGUAGUGGUGAUAUGCGUAGAUAUCGAGAGGAACACCUGCGGCGAAGGCGGGUUGCUGGGCUGACACUGACGCUGAAGCGCGAAAGCUAGGGGAGCGAACGGG